RNAcentral lists this ribosomal RNA (1444 nucleotides) under metagenome. RNAcentral's name for it is "bacterial SSU rRNA". It matches the Rfam family "Bacterial small subunit ribosomal RNA". The record is from RNAcentral.
AGAGUUUGAUCCUGGCUCAGGAUGAACGCUGGCGGCGUGCUUAACACAUGCAAGUCGAACGAGCCUUCGGGCUAGUGGCGGACGGGUGAGUAACGCGUGGGAAUCUGCCCUCAGGAGGGGGAUAACGGCCGGAAACGGCCGCUAAUACCCCAUAUGCCGAGAGGUGGAACGAAAUUCGCCUGGGGAUGAGCCCGCGUCUGAUUAGCUAGUUGGUGUGGUAAUGGCGCACCAAGGCAUCGAUCAGUAGCUGGUCUGAGAGGAUGAUCAGCCACACUGGGACUGAGACACGGCCCAGACUCCUACGGGAGGCAGCAGUGGGGAAUUUUCCGCAAUGGGCGCAAGCCUGACGGAGCAACGCCGCGUGAGGGACGAAGGCCUCUGGGCUGUAAACCUCUUUUCUCAAGGAAGAAGACAUGACGGUACUUGAGGAAUAAGCCACGGCUAAUUCCGUGCCAGCAGCCGCGGUAAUACGGGAGUGGCAAGCGUUAUCCGGAAUUAUUGGGCGUAAAGCGUCCGCAGGCGGCCUUGAAAGUCUGUUGUUAAAGCGUGGAGCUCAACUCCAUUUAAGCAAUGGAAAUUACAAGGCUAGAGUGUGGUAGGGGCAGAGGGAAUUCCCGGUGUAGCGGUGAAAUGCGUAGAUAUCGGGAAGAACACCAGUGGCGAAGGCGCUCUGCUGGGCCAUAACUGACGCUCAUGGACGAAAGCCAGGGGAGCGAAAGGGAUUAGAUACCCCUGUAGUCCUGGCCGUAAACGAUGAACACUAGGUGUCGGGAGAAUUAACCCUUUCGGUGUCGUAGCCAACGCGUUAAGUGUUCCGCCUGGGGAGUACGCACGCAAGUGUGAAACUCAAAGGAAUUGACGGGGGCCCGCACAAGCGGUGGAGUAUGUGGUUUAAUUCGAUGCAACGCGAAGAACCUUACCAGGGUUUGACAUCCUGCGAAUCCCUUGGAAACUUGGGAGUGCCUUCGGGAGCGCAGUGACAGGUGGUGCAUGGCUGUCGUCAGCUCGUGUCGUGAGAUGUUGGGUUAAGUCCCGCAACGAGCGCAACCCACGUCUUUAGUUGCCAGCAUUCAGUUGGGCACUCUAGAGAGACCGCCGGUGAUAAACCGGAGGAAGGUGUGGAUGACGUCAAGUCAUCAUGCCCCUUACAUCCUGGGCUACACACGUACUACAAUGCUACGGACAAAGGGCAGCAAACUCGCGAGAGCUAGCAAAUCCCAUAAACCGUGGCUCAGUUCAGAUCGUAGGCUGCAACUCGCCUACGUGAAGGAGGAAUCGCUAGUAAUCGCAGGUCAGCAUACUGCGGUGAAUACGUUCCCGGGCCUUGUACACACCGCCCGUCACACCAUGGAAGUUGGCCAUGCCCGAAGUCGUUACUCCAACCCGCAAGGGAGGAGGACGCCGAAGGUGGGGCUGAUGACUGGGGUGAAGUCGAAACAAGGUA